CCGUGUGUAGCUCAGUUGGUAGAGCCGACGUCUUAUACACGUCUGGUCCCAGGUUCGAGUCCUGGCACACGGACCA
RNAcentral lists this transfer RNA (76 nucleotides) under Candidatus Vogelbacteria bacterium. RNAcentral describes it as "tRNA-Ile". It matches the Rfam family "tRNA". Rfam says of the family: Transfer RNA (tRNA) molecules are approximately 80 nucleotides in length. Their secondary structure includes four short double-helical elements and three loops (D, anti-codon, and T loops). Lineage: Bacteria; Candidatus Vogeliibacteriota. The record is from RNAcentral.